UACAGAGGGUGCGAGCGUUGUCCGGAAUCACUGGGCGUAAAGGGCGCGUAGGCGGCGCGGUAAGCGUGCGGUGAAAGCCCGGGGCUCAACCCCGGGUCGGCCGUGCGGACUGCCGGGCUGGAGCACUGUAGAGGCAGGUGGAAUUCCGGGUGUAGCGGUGGAAUGCGUAGAGAUCCGGAAGAACACCGGUGGCGAAGGCGGCCUGCUGGGCAGUUUGGCUGACACUGAGGCGCGACAGCGUGGGGAGCAAACAGG
Molecule: ribosomal RNA, 255 nt
Filed under: uncultured bacterium
Lineage: Bacteria
Description: partial 16S ribosomal RNA
Rfam family: Bacterial small subunit ribosomal RNA
Source: RNAcentral